GGGCGGUUAGCUCAGUGGUAGAGCGUCGGUUUUACACACCGUUGGUCGGGGGUUCGAAUCCCUCACCGCCCA
RNAcentral lists this transfer RNA (72 nucleotides) under Chthoniobacterales bacterium. Its description in RNAcentral is "tRNA-Val". It matches the Rfam family "tRNA". From Rfam's summary of the family: Transfer RNA (tRNA) molecules are approximately 80 nucleotides in length. Their secondary structure includes four short double-helical elements and three loops (D, anti-codon, and T loops). Further hydrogen bonds mediate the characteristic L-shaped molecular structure. tRNAs have two regions of fundamental functional importance: the anti-codon, which is responsible for specific mRNA codon recognition, and the 3' end, to which the tRNAs corresponding amino acid is attached (by aminoacyl-tRNA synthetases). tRNAs cope with the degeneracy of the genetic code in two manners: having more than one tRNA (with a specific anti-codon) for a particular amino acid; and 'wobble' base-pairing, i.e. permitting non-standard base-pairing at the 3rd anti-codon position. Lineage: Bacteria; Pseudomonadati; Verrucomicrobiota; Spartobacteria; Chthoniobacterales. The record is from RNAcentral.